Molecule: ribosomal RNA, 302 nt
Filed under: uncultured bacterium
Lineage: Bacteria
Description: partial 16S ribosomal RNA
Rfam family: Bacterial small subunit ribosomal RNA
Source: RNAcentral
GCAGCAGCCACGGUAAUACGUAGGUGGCAAGCGUUGUCCGGAAUUAUUGGGCGUAAAGGGCUCGCAGGCGGUUUCUUAAGUCUGAUGUGAAAGCCCCCGGCUCAACCGGGGAGGGUCAUUGGAAACUGGGAAACUUGAGUGCAGAAGAGGAGAGUGGAAUUCCACGUGUAGCGGCGAAAUGCGUAGAGAUGUGGAGGAACACCAGUGGCGCAGGCGACUCUCUGGUCUGUAACUGACGCUGAGGAGCGAAAGCGUGGGGAGCGAACAGGAUUAGAUACCCCGGUAGUCCUGUCUCUUAUACC